This 253-nucleotide ribosomal RNA is filed under the name uncultured bacterium. RNAcentral describes it as "partial 16S ribosomal RNA". It matches the Rfam family "Bacterial small subunit ribosomal RNA", at positions 524 to 776 of the family's 1533-position model. The record is from RNAcentral.
UACGGAGGGCGCAAGCGUUGUUCGGAAUCAUUGGGCGUAAAGCGCGUGUAGGCGGUCUGGUCAGUCGGGUGUGAAAUACCGGAGCUCAACUCCGGAACUGCAUUCGAUGCUGCCAGGCUAGAGUCCCGGAGAGGGUGGUGGGAUUCCCGGUGUGGAGGUGAAAGUCGUAGAUAUCGGGAGGAACACCAGCGGCGAAGGCGGCCACCUGGACGGUGACUGACGCUGAGACGCGAAAGCGUGGGGAGCAAACAGG